Molecule: long non-coding RNA, 572 nt
Filed under: Setaria viridis
Lineage: Eukaryota; Viridiplantae; Streptophyta; Magnoliopsida; Poales; Poaceae
Description: long non-coding RNA (SVIR_LNC003313)
Source: RNAcentral
GCAAGUCAAGUUUAUAGCUUAGAAAUAGCAUUGGAUUCAAAAAUAGUUAUCUCAUCAUGUUUAUAAUAUAAAAUCAUCAAGAGCAUAACUGCACAUUGCUACACAAUCAUCAACCAAUGCAUUAGCUCACAAAUAGCAUAAGGAAAUGCUAAGGAUAUAUAGGAGAAACUCAUCUAGUGCAAAGUGUACAAGGUGGAAUAUGAUACAAAUGCAAUGCAAUGCUAAAAGAGAUGGGGCUCGGCUCAAAACCAAGAAAGCUCAUGAGGGUUAAAUCAAUCUAGGAAAAGCUCUGUGGCAAUAGAAGAACCGUCAACAAUCCCAACUGAGUACCAUAGAGGGGAUACCAAUUGAAGGAUCAAAAAUUAAUACCACUUGAAGAAGAUGGAAUCCAAUCGAAAGAUCAAAUGUGAUAACAAUUAAAAGAUCAAAAGCGGAUAUCAAAAAACCAAAGCAAGUCUUGGUCCAAACUCCCCCUCAAUCAAAGACGCCUUAGCAAAAGAAAAGCUAGAAAAUAGAACGGGGCAAAAGAAAAGCUCCAACACCAAUUAAAAGGAAGAGAAAAUUCAAAGGAG